GAACUUUGGACAAUGGGGGAAACCCUGAUCCAGCCAUGCCGCGUGUGUGAAGAAGGCCUUCGGGUUGUAAAGCACUUUCGGACGGAACGAAAUCGCGUGGGUGAAUAUCCCGCGUGGAUGACGGUACCGUAAGAAGAAGCACCGGCUAACUACGUGCCAGCACCCGCGGUAAUACGUAGGGUGCGAGCGUUAAUCGGAAUUACUGGGCGUCAAGUGUGCGCAGGCGGCUUCGCAAGUCGAGUGUGAAAUCCCCGGGCUUAACUUGGGAACGGCGCUCGAAACUACGGAGCUCGAGUAUGGCAGAGGGAGGUGGAAUUCCACGUGUAGCGGUGAAAUGCGUAGAGAUGUGGAGGAACACCAAUGGCGAAGGCAGCCUCCUGGGCCAAUACUGACGCUCAUGCACGAAAGCGUGGGGAGCAAACAGG
RNAcentral lists this ribosomal RNA (425 nucleotides) under uncultured bacterium. RNAcentral describes it as "bacterial SSU rRNA". It matches the Rfam family "Bacterial small subunit ribosomal RNA", at positions 359 to 776 of the family's 1533-position model. The record is from RNAcentral.